Sinocyclocheilus grahami is the source of this 3257-nucleotide long non-coding RNA. Lineage: Eukaryota; Metazoa; Chordata; Actinopteri; Cypriniformes; Cyprinidae. The record is from Ensembl.
UGCAGAAAAGUGCCAGUGGUCUUUUCACUGAGCGUUCGUGUCUGGUGCGUUCACUAGCUUCUACCACUCUCUCUCGCUCUCUCUCUCGCUCUCGCUCUCGCUCUCGCUCUCAUUGUUGUUUAGGGUGGAGGUUGAAACUGGAUUUAACUGACGCUUAAAGAAAAAGUAAUGUGAAAUAGAGUAGCAUAGCAGAGCAUGUGUUGUAUAUGUUUUUUAGAAAUCUCUGUAUGAAUAUAAAGAAUGGUCACUACACGGAACGAACAGAUGAAGUUGUGGAGUUGUAGAUGAAUCUGCAAGUUCAAAACUGAAUUGAAUAUUUCGCACAUACAGUAGAGAUUUUUUGCGGGCAACGGAAUUGGCCUAGUCUGCACCCUAAGCCUGACUCCAUAUUGCCAUCAGGUGUAGGCUGACUCCGGUAUGGACAUCGAACUGGUCAGCACCAUAGACAGACGUCCUACACCGGCAUGCGGAGGACCGCAGCACCCAGUCAGUCACUGCAGCCAGCUUGCUUCGGCGAGGACAUGCGGGCACCCCUCCUCUCCUCUGCAGUGUGCCACAGUGCUGGAUGAAGACUAUUGUUCUGGUGCCCUCGUCUUCCUCUGGCACCACACCUCACCCACCACACCAGCCCACUUCGUAAACAAGUAUAUGUGUGUGUGUGUGUGUGUGUGUGUGUGUGUGUGUGUGUGUGAAACUGGUGCAAGGUCAGUGUGAAAAUGCAGGACGGUUAUGAUGGAAGAUAUUUGCUUUAGUCACCGUGGGGGUUUGGCAUGGAAAUUUUGCUCCUUGUGUUGCUCAGCAUCUCUUGUCCAUAUGCAGUAGUGCAGUAGAGGAAUGUUGCUGAAGUUACAGGUUUCUUAAAGUGUCACUCCACUGAUAAUGACUGCACAUGCCGUUCCUCCCACACACACACCCCGUUCCUCUCGCUCACUGUCAGAAUCAUGGUAGUUGGUCUGCAGUGCCAGCACACGCCCCAGGAACGCCCAGAUUUUACCGCAGUACCAAAGUACCCUGAGCAGUCUCACACACACAAAUACACUCACUCCACCCACAAUAUAAUUAUGAGAACUAAUCAGCUUAAAGUCACACUCAGAUACAUUUGUAAAGAACGUGUUUUAGCCUGCCAUCCGGUUUAAUAGAUUUUUGGAUCGUUUGAUCUUUUGUUUAUAUUUUUCAGCGUUCACGCAGUCAUUGAAAACCUGGAAAUAUAAGAGAGUAAUAAAAGUGUGAUUUAUCUAGUAUAGUAUACACUGAAUAUAAUUAAAUACAUUUCUGUAGUGAAUAUAAAUUUGUCAAGUUUUGCCCUGGUCAGAAAUGUUUAAUUGACUUGAUACUGAGUGCUUAUAUAGAGUAAAACAAGACUCCAAGCCAGUGUGAAACAUUGAUCUGUAUAUUGAGGGAUUUAUACUAAAGUGUUGGUAACGGUUUAGUAUAGGGACCAAUUCUCACUAUUAACUAGUUGCUUAUUAGCAUGCCUAUUAUUAACAUAUUAGCUGUUUAUUAGUACUUAUGAAGCAUUUAUUGUAGAUGACCAUAUUCUACAUCCUUAAUCCUACCCAAUACCUAAACUUAACAACUACCUUACUAACUAUUAACAAGCAGCAAUUUAGGAGUUUGAGAAAAAAGUCGUAGUUAAUGGUUUGUUAAUAGCGAGAAUUGGACGUUAAAAUAAAGUGUGACCGGAAAGGCAUGUUCAUUUAAAUAGAUUCCGUCCAAUUUGAGAUCUGCCAAGCUAUCGCAAUAAAACGACGUCUAAAAAUCGUUGAAAUUCGUUGGUCAAAAACUACUUCUUCCAUUUUUUUUAAAACAUGAUGUUCUUGUUUUGUGUCUGGCCAUGUGUGCAUGUCUGUGUAUUUUGCAGUAAGAAGACACCGUUGUCCCUUUCUCACAGACGUUGUCCCACAUGGCCAUAUGUUCAAGGCUGGCAUAAAGCAUCCUACAUAUUUCUCUAUAGUCUGUCCAUCUGAGUGCUUCCACACAAACAGAAAAACAAACACAUACUAAUAAUGGUGGAUUACAGUCAGAUGUUAAAUGUGCAACAAAGAAGAAUAUGCUUGGACGAAAGUGAAAAAAUAUCAAGAAAGAGCAGAGAGAGAGAAGAAUAGCUCGACGGUUGAAGCUCAUUUGUCAUUUAAAAAGGGAAGCAUCAGGAAUGUGAGUAAAUAGCAUUUUUUUCCGCAAUGCGUGCCCGACUGCAGCUCACCCCCUCAGUCCAGCUGAUUUCUCUCAAAUAAACCAGCACAAUGGACCAACAGAGCAUUCGGCCACAGUCACAGCCGCUGAAUCGCUGGGAUUCUGUGCAUGAGGAUGUAUGUAGUCUAGAGGGAGAAUGUAUUUAUGUCAGUGUGCUACAUUUGAGGCGGAUUAAUCGCAUGUGGUGUAUUUAAAUUUUUCUUGUUCUUAAAUGCUCUUGUUUUCAAUCUCUGGAUCUUGCAUGUGCCCUCUCUCUUUCCCUCCCUCUCUCUCUGUCCUCAGAUGCCUUUCAGCCUACUUUCCUAUAACAGAAAACAGAGCAGAGUGGAGUCAGCAUUCACAGUCAGAGGCAGGCGCAAGCACCAGAUAAACGCCCCCUUUAAGUGUGUGUAUACUGUAUGUACAUGUGAGUGCAAUUUAACUAUGCUUUGUGUUUCUCUGUUUAUCUUUCUGUCAUUUUAAGUAAGAUGGCCUGGAUGGAAUCUGCAGACAGUUUUCACACUUUCAGUUGCUGUGUGAUUCUGUCUGAUGGAUUAAAACAUGGUAAAAUGUGGUAAAUUUAUCUAAAAAUACUCCAUUAGUAUUCUUGGUAUCUGAAUGAAUAAUCAUUAUUAGUGAAAGACAAACUUUGCAUUGCUGUGCAAAUGUGCAGAUUACACAUGGGCCUAGAAAUCACCAUUCUGUGUCUCGACAGAACUAUUUAUAUUUCAUUCUUAUGAAAGAUGUUUGGUUUCAUCUUCUGAUCUGUUUUUCUUUUUCCAACUUAUGUAUAUUUUUACGUCUGUCCUCUGUAUCGUUCCUCCUGCCUCUCACUCCAUUUCCCAGCCACAAGCACUGAGAAUAUUCCUUCCUUCUCUCUUUCUCUCUCUCUCUGUCGGUCUCUUUCUCUCUUUCUCCCUCUAUCUCCCCCCUUCCCAACCCUCUCUCUGUCAACUAAAGCCCUUUCAUAAUGAAUGGCAAGGUACGAUAAUAGCCUUUCGGUUGCUAUAGUAACCAGACAGGAGCUCUGUUCGUGCUGUAUUUUUUGUCCUUUUUUUUUCUUUUUUUCUCAAGGGGGCAAAUGA